UCCCUGGUGGUCCAGUGGUUAAGACGCUGUGCUUCCAAGGCAGGGGCACAGGUUCGACCCCUGGAUGGGGAA
This 72-nucleotide transfer RNA is filed under the name Bos taurus (domestic cattle). It matches the Rfam family "tRNA". From Rfam's summary of the family: Transfer RNA (tRNA) molecules are approximately 80 nucleotides in length. The record is from Rfam by way of RNAcentral. RNAcentral also lists the same sequence under 4 other names. Lineage: Eukaryota; Metazoa; Chordata; Mammalia; Artiodactyla; Bovidae.